AACGUAGGAGACAAACGUUAUCCGGAGUUACUGGGCGUAAAGGGCGUGUAGGUGGUUUCGUAAGUCUGGCGUGAAAUUUUUCGGCUUAACCGGGAAAGGUCGUCGGAUACUGCGGAGCUAGAGGACGGUAGAGGCGUGUGGAAUUCCGGGUGUAGCGGUGGAAUGCGUAGAGAUCCGGAAGAACACCGGUGGCGAAGGCGGCCUGCUGGGCAGUUGCUGACACUGAUGCGCGACAGCGUGGGGAGCAAACAGG
RNAcentral lists this ribosomal RNA (253 nucleotides) under uncultured bacterium. RNAcentral's name for it is "partial 16S ribosomal RNA". It matches the Rfam family "Bacterial small subunit ribosomal RNA", at positions 524 to 776 of the family's 1533-position model. The record is from RNAcentral.